UGUCUAUUAUUUCGUGAAGUUAAUCGAUGAGAAGCCUUCUUCAAUAAGCGGACAAAUGAACCCAUAGAUUCACAGAUUCACUUUUCUAUAGAUCAUAAUAUUAACUGCCGAGCACAUAUGUAGACCCUUACUCGGUAUACGUUAUUCUCGCGAAAUACACGCUGGAAGCUACUUCCCUAUGAAAAAUAAAGUACUCUAUGGAAAAUAGUUUUGUUUCAUGCUGCUAUUGUAGAGCCACAGAAUUUGAGAAUUUCGUAUUGGAAAUUUUUGUAUAAUCUUUCAGGAGGAAGAAUUGCUGUCAUGUCUCGCAUACCAAUAGACGAAUUUGGUUUAGAGAGUAGCAAACAUUUGCAAGAAAUUCUUAAAAUAUCAAAAACAGACGAUAAACACGUUUAUACUUUUUAAAGAGAGAAUAGAAAUCGUAUUUUUCUAUUACUUGAUAAACACCAAAGACAUUCCAGCAGUUAAAGAGAAAUCGGAAACAAACUGUUAAACGUUUUUUGUAAAGUUAUUACACGUUCUACUAAGUUGCCUCAAUCAAAUAUUUUUAACAAAACAUAAUAUCUAAUUGUUAGAUAUGAAAAAUAUGUAAAAAACUCUGUAAAGUUUAACGAGAAAACUACUUAUAUUCAUUUGGUAAAAAAAAUAGGCAAUUUAAUUUAUUUUAUAUUAUAAUAUAUAUAAUGAGCGAUCAAACUAUGUAUAGUAUUAGCUGUACUAAAUGUUCUUGUUGAAAUUCACGAAUACUAAUUUAUCAAAACAAUCGUGCCUAUAUUAAAUUGUGAUGGUUUAAUGAUUUUUGUCAUACUCUUUUACAAUUAAAACUUGGUUGAUCAUUUAUGCACUUAUUGUGUCUAUAGGUUUUUUAAUUCUUAAAGGAUGUGCAUUUGACAAGGAUUAUUUUUUUACUACUUUUGUUUUAUCUAUGGUUAAUACACUCGGUACAAAACUUAUUUUUUCACUAUUAUAUGGAAUAAUGGUUAAUAAUGUAUGUACAAAUAUAUUUGAUUCUCAAGUUAAUAGUUGUAAAAAAGGGAUAGUUGGUUGAAGUAUGGAGAUCACAAACGAACAAUAAAAUUUAUAUAAAACUGAA
This is a long non-coding RNA of Nasonia vitripennis (jewel wasp), 1093 nucleotides long. RefSeq lists it as uncharacterized. The record is from RefSeq and is a predicted model, not a curated record. The transcript is spliced from 2 exons. Lineage: Eukaryota; Metazoa; Arthropoda; Insecta; Hymenoptera; Pteromalidae.